Molecule: non-coding RNA, 88 nt
Organism: Paramuricea clavata
Lineage: Eukaryota; Metazoa; Cnidaria; Anthozoa; Malacalcyonacea; Plexauridae
Source: the annotation of a GenBank genome assembly
AUUGAAUCUACGUUUCGACUAAAUUGUAGUCAUCUUCAGGAUUCAGGAUCCUGAAGAUGACUACAAUCUAGUCGAAACGUAGAUUCAA